GACGAACGCUGGCGGCGUGCUUAACACAUGCAAGUCGGACGGUGAACCGCUUUCGGGUGGGGAUCAGUGGCGAACGGGUGAGUAACACGUGAGUAACCUGCCCUUCACUCUGGGAUAACUCCGGGAAACCGGGGCUAAUACUGGAUACGACCUACUCGGGCAUCCGAUGUGGGUGGAAAGAUUUAUUGGUGGGGGAUGGACUCGCGGCCUAUCAGCUUGUUGGUGAGGUAAUGGCUCACCAAGGCGACGACGGGUAGCCGGCCUGAGAGGGCGAUCGGCCACACUGGGACUGAGACACGGCCCAGACUCCUACGGGAGGCAGCAGUGGGGAAUAUUGCACAAUGGGCGAAAGCCUGAUGCAGCGACGCCGCGUGAGGGAUGAAGGCCUUCGGGUUGUAAACCUCUUUCAGCAGGGAAGAAGCGAAAGUGACGGUACCUGCAGAAGAAGCACCGGCUAACUACGUGC
Molecule: ribosomal RNA, 466 nt
Filed under: uncultured bacterium
Lineage: Bacteria
Description: bacterial SSU rRNA
Rfam family: Bacterial small subunit ribosomal RNA
Source: RNAcentral